CUGCGAGUUCGCGGGAGAGUAAGUUAUUGCCAGGGUUUUUAUUUUAUACUUUAAACAUUGAUUUUAUUUUUUAUGUUUUUAGAUUUUCAUGUUUUUAGAUUUUCAUGUUUUUAGAUUUUCAUGUUUUUAGAUUUUCAUGUUUUUUAAUGUUUUAUUUAAAUAAUAUAAAAAAUAAAAUAUAUAUAUUGACAUGGAUUAAACAAAGAUAUAUAUUAUUCUAUGUUGCAUAAACAAAUUGGCAAAAUAGAGAUGGAAGAUAAAAAUAUGGUCAAAG
Molecule: unclassified non-coding RNA, 274 nt
Filed under: Borreliella bavariensis
Lineage: Bacteria; Pseudomonadati; Spirochaetota; Spirochaetia; Spirochaetales; Borreliaceae
Description: partial 5S-23S ribosomal RNA intergenic spacer
Source: RNAcentral